UACGUAGGGUGCGAGCGUUGUCCGGAAUUAUUGGGCGUAAAGGGCUCGUAGGCGGUUUGUCGCGUCGGGAGUGAAAACUCAGGGCUUAACCCUGAGCCUGCUUCCGAUACGGGCAGACUAGAGGUAUGCAGGGGAGAUCGGAAUUCCUGGUGUAGCGGUGAAAUGCGCAGAUAUCAGGAGGAACACCGGUGGCGAAGGCGGAUCUCUGGGCCUUACCUGACGCUCAGGUGCGAAAGCUAGGGGAGCGAACAGG
This 253-nucleotide ribosomal RNA is filed under the name uncultured bacterium. RNAcentral's name for it is "partial 16S ribosomal RNA". It matches the Rfam family "Bacterial small subunit ribosomal RNA", at positions 524 to 776 of the family's 1533-position model. The record is from RNAcentral.